This 614-nucleotide ribosomal RNA is filed under the name uncultured bacterium. RNAcentral describes it as "bacterial SSU rRNA". It matches the Rfam family "Bacterial small subunit ribosomal RNA", at positions 338 to 951 of the family's 1533-position model. The record is from RNAcentral.
CCUACGGGGGGCAGCAGUGAGGAAUAUUGGACAAUGGGCGCAAGCCUGAUCCAGCCAUGCCGCGUGCAGGAAGAAGCAUCUAUGGUGUGUAAACUGCUUUUGUACGGGAAGAAACACUGCUACGUGUAGCAGCUUGACGGUACCGUAAGAAUAAGGAUCGGCUAACUCCGUGCCAGCAGCCGCGGUAAUACGGAGGAUCCAAGCGUUAUCCGGAAUCAUUGGGUUUAAAGGGUCCGUAGGCGGUUUGGUAAGUCAGUGGUGAAAGCCCAUCGCUUAACGAUGGAACGGCCAUUGAUACUGCCAGGCUUGAAUUACUAGGAAGUAACUAGAAUAUGUAGUGUAGCGGUGAAAUGCUUAGAUAUUACAUGGAAUACCAAUUGCGAAGGCAGGUUACUACUAGUUUAUUGACGCUGAUGGACGAAAGCGUGGGGAGCGAACAGGAUUAGAUACCCUGGUAGUCCACGCCGUAAACGAUGGAUACUAGCUGUUCGGGUAACCUGAGUGGCUAAGCGAAAGUGAUAAGUAUCCCACCGUGGGGAGUACGUUCGCAAGAAUGAAACUCGAAAAGGAAUUGACGGCGNGAGACGAGACGACGACGACGACGAGGGAGGAGG